This 211-nucleotide long non-coding RNA is filed under the name Elaeis guineensis (African oil palm). Its description in RNAcentral is "long non-coding RNA (EGUI_LNC020936)". The record is from RNAcentral. Lineage: Eukaryota; Viridiplantae; Streptophyta; Magnoliopsida; Arecales; Arecaceae.
CAUUCUUCUUCUUCUUUUCCGAGUAACCAGGAGAAAAGGGUGAUUUCUCUGAGAUAUAUAUAUAUUAGAUAGACAAUAUGGUAUUUAUAGCAUCUAUAUUUACAGUGAUAUAUACAUGAUAUUUUGAGGAGUUGGUGGCAAUGUACCAAUAGAUUGAGCGGUGGAUGUAAUGGUCAAGGAUUAUGGUUGUACAUACAAAUAUAAUGGCAGU